Molecule: ribosomal RNA, 1448 nt
Filed under: uncultured Bolidomonas
Lineage: Eukaryota; Bolidophyceae
Description: partial Bacterial large subunit ribosomal RNA
Rfam family: Bacterial large subunit ribosomal RNA
Source: RNAcentral
GUACCGUGAGGGAAAGGUGAAAAGAACCCCGGGAGGGGAGUGAAAUAGAACAUGAAACCAUAAACUUACAAGCAGUAGGAGGACGACUUAACGUCUGACUGCGUGCCUGUUGAAGAAUGAGCCGGCGACUUAUAGGUAGUGGCAGGUUAAAGUAGAGAAUACUGAAGCCAUAGUGAAAGCGAGCCUGAAUAGGGCGUAUGUCACUAGUUAUAGACCCGAACCCGGAUGAUCUAACCAUGGCCAGGUUGAAGCUUAGGUAAUACUAAGUGGAGGACCGAACCGACUGAUGUUGAAAAAUCAGCGGAUGAGUUGUGGUUAGGGGUGAAAUGCCAAUCGAAUUCGGAGCUAGCUGGUUCUCCCCGAAAUGUGUUUAGGCGCAGCGGUUAAUGUUAUAAUUUAGGGGUAAAGCACUGUUUCGGUGCGGGCUGGUAAUUCGGUACCAAAUCGUGGCAAACUAAGAAUACUAAAUGAAUAAUUAACCAGUAAGACUGUGGGGGAUAAGCUCCAUUGUCAAGAGGGAAACAGCCCAGAUCACCAGUUAAGGCCCCAAAAUAAUUACUAAGUGGCAAAGGAGGUGGGAGUGCUUAGACAAUCAGGAGGUUUGCUUAGAAGCAGCAACCCUUUAAAGAGUGCGUAAUAGCUCACUGAUCGAGUAAACCUGCGCCGAAAAUGAAUGGGACUAAGUAAUUUGCCGAAGCUGUGAGAUAUAUUUUUAUAUCGGUAGGGGAGCGUUCUGUUGUAGGUCGAAGCAUUAGCGUAAGCGGAUGUGGACGAAGCAGAAGUGAGAAUGUCGGCUUGAGUAACGAAAAUAUAGGUGAGAAUCCUAUACCCCGAAAACCCAAGGUUUCCUCCGGAAGGCUCGUCCGCGGAGGGUAAGUCAGGGCCUAAGGCGAGGCUGAAAAGCGUAGUCGAUGGAUAACGGUUUAAUAUUACCGUACCAUUUUUUAUUGAUAACGAGGGACGGAGAAGGCUAAACUAGCCGGAUGUUGGUUACCGGUUUAAACGUUCGAGAUGUUGAGAAGUGGCGAAAACACUUUGAGUUGAGGCGUGAAUAGGAGAUGCUAAGGCAUCGAAGUAGUGUAUGUCAGACUUCCAAGAAAAGCUCGCUAUGUCAUAGAUAAAAAAUGCCUGUACCAUAACCGACACAGGUGGGUAGGUAGAGUAUACUAAGGGGCGCGAGAUAACUCUCUCUAAGGAACUCGGCAAAAUAACUCCGUAACUUCGGGAGAAGGAGUGCCUUAUUUAUAAGGUUGCAAUAACAAGACCCAAGCAACUGUUUAUCAAAAACACAGGUCUCCGCUAAGUCGUAAGACGACGUAUGGGGGCUGACGCCUGCCCAGUGCCAGAAGGUUAAAGAAGUUGGUUAGCAUUUGCGAAGCUGAUGACUGAAGCCCUGGUGAACGGCGGCCGUAACUAUAACGGUCCUAAGGUAGCGAAAUUCCUUGUCG